UGCGCUCUUUUGUUACGCUACUCCUCUUCCUGUUGGCUGUUGCCCUCUUCUGAAUUCGAUCAUGGAAUUAGGGCUCAGGUUUCGUCUCAUUCUCCGAGAAUUCAGAGGAAGGCGUUGGCCUAUCUUCUACUUCAAAGCUAGGGUUCGCCAAUCUGAUUUUGAUUGGUCUGACAAUCAGGUCCAAAAUAUACGGUUCUUCCUGAAGACAAAAGGCAUAAACUGUGGAAAAGGUUGAAAACUUCAGCACUUGGUUGAUGAAUAGAUGCAAUAAUGGUUCUUCCCUCUCUUUGACGUGAAAUUCCGCUCAUCACGUAAUAAGAUGCAGCACUGUCGAGGCCGCUGGUUGGUUCAUCAAGGAAAAGAAGUUUUGGCCGCGUUAGAAUCUCCAUGCAAACACUAAGUCUUCUCUUUUCUCCUCCACUAAUUCCUUUAUUACCAAAUCCUCCAAUUCUUGUGUUCAUUGCAUCUUGCAACCCCAUCUCCUUAAUAGUCUGCUCUGCUAUUUGUUUUUUCUCUGAUUUUGUCAUGGAAACUGGGAGUUGGAGUUGUGCAGAGUAGUAAACUGCUUCUUGAACUGUUAGUGUUGCUAACAGAGUUUCAUCUUGAGUCACAUAUGCCUGAUUUUAUAGGAUAAAGAACAUUACCAUGCAUGCUAAUAAAAAAAAUAUAAUAAUGUUAUUGUGAAAAAAGGAAAACAAAAUGAGUAGUGCAUGCGGCAUUCAGCUGAAGAUUUUAAUUUCUUACAGAUGUUCCAUACGAAAGUUUCUGUUUGUGACCAUUGAUCAGAAUUUCUCCGCUCUGCCUCGUGCUGAAAUCCAGUCGCCCUGGGAGGUGCCCAUCAGCUAAGGAAUCGAGAAGUGUAGAUUUGCCACAGCCAGAAGGACCCAUAACGGCCAAGAGCUCACUAGGUCGAGCAUAGCCAGUGAGACCUUUAAGUAUGGAUUUGCUUCUACCUUUUUUAGUGCUAACAGUAACCCAUAAGUCAUUCCAAGUCAAGAAAACGCCUC
This is a long non-coding RNA of Solanum stenotomum, 1007 nucleotides long. RefSeq lists it as uncharacterized. Lineage: Eukaryota; Viridiplantae; Streptophyta; Magnoliopsida; Solanales; Solanaceae. The transcript has 3 exons. The record is from RefSeq and is a predicted model, not a curated record.